RNAcentral lists this ribosomal RNA (253 nucleotides) under uncultured bacterium. Its description in RNAcentral is "partial 16S ribosomal RNA". It matches the Rfam family "Bacterial small subunit ribosomal RNA", at positions 524 to 776 of the family's 1533-position model. The record is from RNAcentral.
UACAGAGGUCUCAAGCGUUGUUCGGAUUCAUUGGGCGUAAAGGGUGCGUAGGCGGCGCGGUAAGUCGGGUGUGAAAUCUCGGAGCUUAACUCCGAAACUGCAUUCGAUACUGGCGAUCUUGAGUCCGGAAGAGGUGAGUGGAACUCCUAGUGUAGAGGUGGAAUUCGUAGAUAUUAGGAAGAACACCAGUGGCGAAGGCGGCUCACUGGUCCGGUACUGACGCUGAGGUGCGAAAGCGUGGGGAGCAAACAGG